This 228-nucleotide long non-coding RNA is filed under the name Mytilus galloprovincialis (Mediterranean mussel). The record is from RNAcentral. Lineage: Eukaryota; Metazoa; Mollusca; Bivalvia; Mytilida; Mytilidae.
CUGUUAAAUUGUACCUUUUAAAAUUGUUACACGAUGAUGACUGCUGUACCCAUAUUUUGACUAUUUUAUUUAUUAUGUCUGUUUAGUUCACGUAUUAUUGUAAAUAUAACGGAAUUUGAUGAGACCGUCAUCAAAGUGAGAGGUUUAGCGCUUUAAAACCAGAAUUAAUCCACCAUUUUCUACAUUUGAAAAUGCCUGUACCAAGUCAGGAAUGUGACAGUUCUUGUC